Molecule: ribosomal RNA, 441 nt
Filed under: uncultured bacterium
Lineage: Bacteria
Description: partial 16S ribosomal RNA
Rfam family: Bacterial small subunit ribosomal RNA
Source: RNAcentral
CCUACGGGUGGCAGCAGUGGGGAAUAUUGCACAAUGGGGGGAACCCUGAUGCAGCGACGCCGCGUGGGUGAAGGAGUAUUUCGGUAUGUAAAGCCCUAUCGGCAGGGAAGAAAUUGGACGGUACCUGACUAAGAAGCCCCGGCUAACUACGUGCCAGCAGCCGCGGUAAUACGUAGGGGGCAAGCGUUAUCCGGAUUCACUGGGUGUAAAGGGAGCGUAGACGGCCAUGCAAGCCAGGGGUGAAAGCCCGGGGCCCAACCCCGGGACUGCCCUUGGAACUGCAUGGCUGGAGUGCGGGAGGGGCAGGCGGAAUUCCUGGUGUAGCGGUGAAAUGCGUAGAUAUCAGGAGGAACACCGGCGGCGAAGGCGGCCUGCUGGACCGCGACUGACGUUGAGGCUCGAAAGCGUGGGGAGCGAACAGGAUUAGAUACCCUAGUAGUC